UUCCUUAGACCUUGUAAUAGGAACCGC
This 27-nucleotide small RNA is filed under the name Bombyx mori (domestic silkworm). RNAcentral's name for it is "ovarian small RNA-9638". Lineage: Eukaryota; Metazoa; Arthropoda; Insecta; Lepidoptera; Bombycidae. The record is from RNAcentral.